Molecule: long non-coding RNA, 223 nt
Filed under: Dromaius novaehollandiae (emu)
Lineage: Eukaryota; Metazoa; Chordata; Aves; Casuariiformes; Dromaiidae
Description: lncRNA (ENSDNVG00000007671.1)
Source: RNAcentral
AGCAUAGAUCAGCAGAGUAACUGUGCUGGACAACAUAGUCCAAUGUUCUGCUUCUGACAUCAGCUAGCACUAGCUUUAAAAUCAGUUCUUCAGGUUCCACAGCAAGUUAUUGGCAAGUGAAUGGAGGAUUUAUCCUGCUUCUGAAUUUCAAUAUGUUGAGUCUUUAAUGUGAAUCAAUCACUGAAUGUGUCAGCUCAGAAUGAGGCAAAAUGGAUUUGUUAAC